GACGAACGCUGGCGGCGUGCUUAACACAUGCAAGUCGAACGGAAAGGCCCUGCUUUUGUGGGGUGCUCGAGUGGCGAACGGGUGAGUAACACGUGAGUAACCUGCCCUUGACUUUGGGAUAACUUCAGGAAACUGGGGCUAAUACCGGAUAGGAGCUCCUGCUGCAUGGUGGGGGUUGGAAAGUUUCGGCGGUUGGGGAUGGACUCGCGGCUUAUCAGCUUGUUGGUGGGGUAGUGGCUUACCAAGGCUUUGACGGGUAGCCGGCCUGAGAGGGUGACCGGCCACAUUGGGACUGAGAUACGGCCCAGACUCCUACGUGAGGCAGCAGUGGGGAAUAUUGCACAGUGAGCGGAAGCCUGAUGCAGCAACGCCGCGUGCGGAAUGACGGCCUUCGGGUUGUAAACCGCUUUCGCCUGUGACGAAGCGUGAGUGACGGUAAUGGGUAAAGAAGCACCGGCUAACUACGUG
RNAcentral lists this ribosomal RNA (468 nucleotides) under uncultured bacterium. RNAcentral describes it as "partial 16S ribosomal RNA". It matches the Rfam family "Bacterial small subunit ribosomal RNA", at positions 28 to 507 of the family's 1533-position model. The record is from RNAcentral.